Molecule: small RNA, 451 nt
Filed under: Histoplasma capsulatum
Lineage: Eukaryota; Fungi; Ascomycota; Eurotiomycetes; Onygenales; Ajellomycetaceae
Also listed under: 1 other name
Description: hypothetical RNA
Source: RNAcentral
CAGGAUAGUUGGGUUUACUACACAUGAGCAUGAAUACAGGACUCACGCUGUACAAGAAGGUAUUUCACCUUUCCUACAUAACCCCCGAUCUUCCAGCGGUUGGAUAAAGGAAUAAUACCAGCCGAUGAAACAACCGAAGAACCUCCCAAUGUUUACGGCUAGGCUCCGCUUUACAGUCUAACCCCUCGGAUGCGAGCGAAAAGUGGGCAGAUCAGUUAACAGUAGAGUCGGGAUCGUUUACAUGGGGUUGCCAGAGAUGAUGCGAAGGCGGCAAAUAUUUUUAAUUGAUGUGACUUGUGACUCAGUUUACUGAUCUUGGAGGUGGGAAGUAGAAAAAGGUUUUCAUUAGCGAUCUAGUCAAGUGUAGAAUUUAAAUUCUACGAACUAAGGCGAGCUGCCAGCAUUUGCAGAUGUUCUGUUCAGCAAGGAUCUUUGAAAAGGCCCAAAAAAA